RNAcentral lists this ribosomal RNA (279 nucleotides) under uncultured bacterium. RNAcentral's name for it is "partial 16S ribosomal RNA". It matches the Rfam family "Bacterial small subunit ribosomal RNA", at positions 506 to 784 of the family's 1533-position model. The record is from RNAcentral.
UGCCAGCAGCCGCGGUAAUACGGAGGGGGUUAGCGUUGUUCGGAAUUACUGGGCGUAAAGCGUACGUAGGCGGGUUGUUAAGUUAGAGGUGAAAUCCCAGGGCUCAACCCUGGAACUGCCUUUAAUACUGGCAACCUAGAGUUCGAGAGAGGUGAGUGGAAUUCCAAGUGUAGAGGUGAAAUUCGUAGAUAUUUGGAGGAACACCAGUGGCGAAGGCGGCUCACUGGCUCGAUACUGACGCUGAGGUACGAAAGUGUGGGGAGCAAACAGGAUUAGAUA